CCAGACUCCUACGGGAGGCAGCAGUGGGGAAUAUUGCACAAUGGGGGAAACCCUGAUGCAGCAACGCCGCGUGAAGGAAGACGGUUUUCGGAUUGUAAACUUCUGUUCUUAGUGAAGAAGUAUGACGGUAGCUAAGGAGCAAGCCACGGCUAACUACGUGCCAGCAGCCGCGGUAAUACGUAGGUGGCAAGCGUUAUCCGGAUUUACUGGGUGUAAAGGGAGCGUAGACGGUGAUGCAAGUCAGAAGUGAAAGCCCGGGGCUCAACGCCGGGACUGCUUUUGAAACUGUGUAACUGGAGUGCAGGAGAGGUAAGCGGAAUUCCUGGUGUAGCGGUGAAAUGCGUAGAUAUCAGGAGGAACACCAGUGGCGAAGGCGGCUUACUGGGCUGUAACUGACGUUGAGGCUCGAAAGCGUGGGGAGCAAACAGGAUUAGAUACCCUCGUAU
Molecule: ribosomal RNA, 446 nt
Filed under: uncultured bacterium
Lineage: Bacteria
Description: bacterial SSU rRNA
Rfam family: Bacterial small subunit ribosomal RNA
Source: RNAcentral